This 451-nucleotide ribosomal RNA is filed under the name uncultured bacterium. RNAcentral's name for it is "partial 16S ribosomal RNA". It matches the Rfam family "Bacterial small subunit ribosomal RNA", at positions 354 to 796 of the family's 1533-position model. The record is from RNAcentral.
GUGGGGAAUAUUGGACAAUGGGGGGAACCCUGAUCCAGCCAUGCCGCGUGUGUGAAGAAGGCCUUUUGGUUGUAAAGCACUUUAAGCGAGGAGGAGGCUACCGAGAUUAAUACUCUUGGAUAGUGGACGUUACUCGCAGAAUAAGCACCGGCUAACUCUGUGCCAGCAGCCGCGGUAAUACAGAGGGUGCAAGCGUUAAUCGGAUUUACUGGGCGUAAAGCGCGCGUAGGUGGCCAAUUAAGUCAAAUGUGAAAUCCCCGAGCUUAUCUUGGGAAUUGCAUUCGAUACUGGUUGGCUAGAGUAUGGGAGAGGAUGGUAGAAUUCCAGGUGUAGCGGUGAAAUGCGUAGAGAUCUGGAGGAAUACCGAUGGCGAAGGCAGCCAUCUGGCCUAAUACUGACACUGAGGUGCGAAAGCAUGGGGAGCAAACAGGAUUAGAUACCCGUGUAGUCC